RNAcentral lists this long non-coding RNA (202 nucleotides) under Physcomitrium patens. Its description in RNAcentral is "long non-coding RNA (PPAT_LNC011866)". Lineage: Eukaryota; Viridiplantae; Streptophyta; Bryopsida; Funariales; Funariaceae. The record is from RNAcentral.
ACUCCUCCACCAUACUUGAUGUUCCAACAGUGUGGCAAAAAAUAACUAUAAAGAAUAUUCAAUCGGCAUGGCAGUGGUUGCAUUGCUCUUUUAAUUUGCACAUAUGCCUUUUUUAGCUUUGGUGCUAAGCUCAAGUCAAAAAUUCACCAAAACAUCGAGCCAAAUUAACACUCAUAAAAGCAGCCAUUUCUACAUCAUACAA